GCGGCUCUUGGCCGGGGAUCAGAUCCGGCGCAUCGGGCGGGCCGAAGAAGUGCAUGCACGUCCGCCGCGCCCGAUCGUGCUCGGGCGGGUCCGCA
RNAcentral lists this transfer RNA (95 nucleotides) under Mycobacterium stomatepiae. RNAcentral describes it as "tRNA-Pro". The record is from RNAcentral. Lineage: Bacteria; Bacillati; Actinomycetota; Actinomycetes; Mycobacteriales; Mycobacteriaceae.